AGAGUUUGAUCCUGGCUCAGAUUGAACGCUGGCGGCAUGCCUAACACAUGCAAGUCGAACGGAAACAGGACGCUGGGAUCUCUUCGGAGUGAACUUGUCGCUGUCGAGUGGCGGACGGGUGAGUAAUGCAUAGGAAAUUGCCUUGAAGUGGGGGAUAGCCCGGAGAAAUCCGGAUUAAUACCGCAUGCGCUCUACGGAGCAAAGCAGGCCUCUGAUUUAAGCUUGCGCUUUGAGAUAUGCCUAUGUCGGAUUAGCUAGUUGGUAGGGUAAAAGCCUACCAAGGCGACGAUCCGUAGCUGGUUUGAGAGGAUGAUCAGCCACACUGGGACUGAGGUACGGCCCAGACUCCUACGGGAGGCAGCAGUGGGGAAUAUUGGACAAUGGGCGCAAGCCUGACGCAGCGACGCCGCGUGGGGGAUGAAGGUUUUCGGAUUGUAAACCCCUUUUGUGAGGAAAGAUAAAGUGGGUAACCACUUAGACGGUACCUCAAGAAAAAGCCACGCUAACUU
Molecule: ribosomal RNA, 509 nt
Filed under: uncultured bacterium
Lineage: Bacteria
Description: bacterial SSU rRNA
Rfam family: Bacterial small subunit ribosomal RNA
Source: RNAcentral